AAAAGCUGAGAUAGCUUUAUUGGCACAAAAGAAACUCAUAACAAUUUAAGGUAUUUUGCCUUAAACUUAUUUAAUAAUUUCUUUUUUGCGAAUAUUUCAAACUGUGAGAGGUCGCAUAAAUUAAGCCAAAAAGAAUCUAAAUUAUAAUCCAUAGUUUAAUUUUAGAAAGAAAAAACAAAUAGGAAAUUGGCGCAGUUUAAUUAUCAUAAUAGACGUUAUUAAUUAUUAAUCUUUUCCCACGAAACUCACUGCUACAUGGGAGACGAGGGCUCGCCAAAAAGGAUGGAAAGAAGGGGCAGCCAAGUCUCACACUCAUUCUCAGGGAAAUGUACAGACUAUGUAACAUUGCCAUGGCCUCAAGUAGCAUAUCUCCACUUGAUCUGGUUCCAGGUUCUGGUGGCAACAAAGUUGUCUAUAGUUAAGUCUCAGCUCCAAAUGGCGUUGUCAUACUAUUGGAUUCCAUCAGUUUCGAACCAUACACCCAAGUUUAGUGUAGAGACCAAUAUAUUAUUUCUAUCUCUAUAUAUCUAGUUAUCUGAAACAGAUUGCCAUUACACUAUAACGCAAAGCCUUUCUAUUUAUCCUGCUAUGUUAAAAUUCCACUAGUAAAAUUUUGAGUGUAGAUUGUCAUCAACUGCCAUAAAAAAAGUUCAUCUGUAAGAUUUUCAUUUAUCAUCCUUUUAUAUCCGUGGAGAUGAAGGUAAACCAUGAAGUAUCACAACUCGUCGUAUUUAGACAUGUUUUUGAGGCCGGUGAAGCAAUUCUGACAUGUUAGCUGAUUUACCUGUUAUGCUGAAGGAGACAAAGUUGAGAUGAUUCUCAAUUUCUCUCCCUAGGUCACUUGAACCUUUUCCUCCCUAUAUUCUGGCACCAAGUUUGGAAACAGGUUACAACAAAGUUAUCACCAUAGUAAUGGUAACAAAGACACGUUACCAGUAGAGAUUAGAACAUCUGAGCACAGGGAGUGGAAACAUAGCUCUUAAUUCUCAAGUUUAGAUGAAUUACUAAUACUUUAUAAUCGCCCAAAUUUUGUAUCGUGGCAGAGGUUUCAUUUAUAAUCCUUGAUUUGUGUCUUGCACGUUAUUAGAGGCGGAGCCAUGAUUUCAAGCUUAU
RNAcentral lists this long non-coding RNA (1113 nucleotides) under Nicotiana benthamiana. RNAcentral's name for it is "long non-coding RNA (NBEN_LNC042454)". Lineage: Eukaryota; Viridiplantae; Streptophyta; Magnoliopsida; Solanales; Solanaceae. The record is from RNAcentral.